AAUGAUUGGAAAGACCGUCGUCGUUCUGGCCCUUGUGGCUAUCGCCGCAGCUGCUCCCUCACAGCCCGCCUACGGCUAUACCCCAGAACCGAAAUACGAGGAACCUGCCAAUUACGACUUUAACUACGCCGUUAAGGACGACUACUCCGGCAACGACUUCGGUCACCAGGAGGCCCGUGAUGGCUAUGACACCCAGGGAGGCUACUACGUCCUCCUUCCCGACGGUCGUCUGCAGAAAGUCGCCUACACCGUCAACGGAGACUCUGGCUACGUGGCUGAGGUCAGCUACGAGGGCGAGGCCCAGUACCCCGAGUACAAGCCCGCCCCAGCAUACAAACCAACGCCUGCUUACGCCUAAUAAA
Non-coding RNA from Penaeus vannamei (Pacific white shrimp), 362 nucleotides. The record is from RefSeq and is a predicted model, not a curated record. NCBI's taxonomy places the organism in Eukaryota, Metazoa, Arthropoda, Malacostraca, Decapoda, Penaeidae.